ACAGCAGCCGCCGCGGUAAUACGAAGGGUGCAAGCGUUACUCGGAAUUACUGGGCGUAAAGCGCGCGUAGGUGGUGGUUUAAGUCCGUUGUGAAAGCCCUGGGCUCAACCUGGGAAUUGCAGUGGAUACUGGGUCACUAGAGUGUGGUAGAGGAUAGUGGAAUUUCCGGUGUAGCAGUGAAAUGCGUAGAGAUCGGAAGGAACAUCUGUGGCGAAGGCGACUAUCUGGGCCAACACUGACACUGAGGCACGAAAGCGUGGGGAGCAAACAGGAUUAGAUACCCGUGUAGUCCCUGUCUCUUAUAC
RNAcentral lists this ribosomal RNA (305 nucleotides) under uncultured bacterium. RNAcentral's name for it is "partial 16S ribosomal RNA". It matches the Rfam family "Bacterial small subunit ribosomal RNA", at positions 508 to 807 of the family's 1533-position model. The record is from RNAcentral.